This 407-nucleotide ribosomal RNA is filed under the name uncultured bacterium. Its description in RNAcentral is "partial 16S ribosomal RNA". It matches the Rfam family "Bacterial small subunit ribosomal RNA", at positions 29 to 526 of the family's 1533-position model. The record is from RNAcentral.
AGCGAACGCUGGCGGCAGGCUUAACACAUGCAAGUCGAGGGGAGCGGCAGACGGGUGAGUAACGCGUGGGAACGUACCUUUUGGUUCGGAACAACACAGGGAAACUUGUGCUAAUACGGGAUACCGAAAGAUCGGGCCGCGUCGGAUUAGCUAGUUGGUAGGGUAAUGGCCUAGCAAGGGGACGAUCAGUAGCUGGUCUGAGAGGAUGAUCAGCCACAUUGGGACGGAGACACGGCCCGAACUCUUGCGGGAUGCAGCAGUGGGGAAUAUUGGAAAAUGGGGGCAACCAUGAUCCAGCCAUGCCGGGUGAGUGAUGAAGGCCCUAGGGUUGUACAGCUCGUUUGUGCGGGAAGCGGUACCGAAAGAAUAAGCCCCGGCUAACUUCGUGCCAGCAGCCGCGGUAAUAC